This 497-nucleotide ribosomal RNA is filed under the name uncultured bacterium. Its description in RNAcentral is "partial 16S ribosomal RNA". It matches the Rfam family "Bacterial small subunit ribosomal RNA", at positions 28 to 507 of the family's 1533-position model. The record is from RNAcentral.
GAUGAACGCUGGCGGCGUGCCUAAUACAUGCAAGCCGAGCGAACAGAUAAGGAGCUUGCUCCUUUGACGUUAGCGGCGGACGGGUGAGUAACACGUGGAUAACCUACCUAUAAGACUGGGAUAACUUCGGGAAACCGGAGCUAAUACCGGAUAACAUAUUGAACCGCAUGGUUCAAUAGUGAAAGGCGGCUUUGCUGUCACUUAUAGAUGGAUCCGCGCCGUAUUAGCUAGUUGGUAAGGUAACGGCUUACCAAGGCAACGAUACGUAGCCGACCUGAGAGGGUGAUCGGCCACACUGGAACUGAGACACGGUCCAGACUCCUACGGGAGGCAGCAGUAGGGAAUCUUCCGCAAUGGGCGAAAGCCUGACGGAGCAACGCCGCGUGAGUGAUGAAGGUCUUCGGAUCGUAAAACUCUGUUAUCAGGGAAGAACAAAUGUGUAAGUAACUGUGCACAUCUUGACGGUACCUGAUCAGAAAGCCACGGCUAACUACGUG